Molecule: non-coding RNA, 24 nt
Filed under: Arabidopsis thaliana (thale cress)
Lineage: Eukaryota; Viridiplantae; Streptophyta; Magnoliopsida; Brassicales; Brassicaceae
Source: RNAcentral
GGCGUUUUUGUACUGGGCUUCGAA